UACGUAGGGUGCAAGCGUUGUCCGGAAUUAUUGGGCGUAAAGAGCUCGUAGGCGGUCUGUCGCGUCUGCUGUGAAAACCUGGGGCUUAACCCCGGGCCUGCAGUGGGUACGGGCAGACUAGAGUGUGGUAGGGGAGACUGGAAUUCCUGGUGUAGCGGUGAAAUGCGCAGAUAUCAGGAGGAACACCGGUGGCGAAGGCGGCUCUCUGGGCCUUACCUGACGCUGAGGAGCGAAAGCUGGGGGAGCGGACAGG
Molecule: ribosomal RNA, 253 nt
Filed under: uncultured bacterium
Lineage: Bacteria
Description: partial 16S ribosomal RNA
Rfam family: Bacterial small subunit ribosomal RNA
Source: RNAcentral